Molecule: small nuclear RNA, 111 nt
Organism: Phodopus roborovskii (desert hamster)
Lineage: Eukaryota; Metazoa; Chordata; Mammalia; Rodentia; Cricetidae
Source: RefSeq, a predicted model, not a curated record
GUGCUCGCUUCAGCAGCACAUAUACUGAAAUUGGAACACCGUACAGAUAUAAGAUGAGCGUGGCCCCUGCAAAAGGAUGACACACAAAUUUUUGAAGUGUUCCAUAUUCUU